Molecule: long non-coding RNA, 298 nt
Organism: Sinocyclocheilus rhinocerous
Lineage: Eukaryota; Metazoa; Chordata; Actinopteri; Cypriniformes; Cyprinidae
Exons: 3
Source: RefSeq, a predicted model, not a curated record
GAGGAGACUUCGACUCCGCACCAGCCCUUCUGAAGGAUAUAUUUAGAUUAAAAAAAACAAACAAAGGAAGAAUAGACGAGAUACAGCCCUAUGUAGCAGCAGUGGCAGUGCUGAGAGAGAGACAGGGACUCCCAGGUGGGGUUCUGAAUCCCCAGAGCAGAGUGAUGGAGCCAUCCCAGCCACAUAGCCUCACAGUUGGGCUAUGGUCGUCAGGAGCUCAUGUGAUAGUGACACAUAAGAUGUGUGGGAGAGAAUGAUGGAGGGAGAACGUUGAAGAGAAGGCUGCCAGGAGCUAUAG